AAAAAGAUGAUGAUAACUAAUAUUAUACAAGAAGAAAGAGAAGAAGCAAGAAAAAAAAAAAAAAAAUAAAAUAAAAUAAAAUAACUGAAACUUGAAAUAAGUGGCGAAAGAUAUUUCAAAUUUCAUUAUACAAAAUAUUUCUUUUUUCUUUUUUUUUUUUCUUUUAGAAGAUAUAAUCUUAAUUAUAUUUUAUAAAAUAAAUUAAAAAAAAAAAUAUAAUUGUAAAAUCUUCUUAACAAGAACAAAUACAAAACAUUUUGUAUUCUUAUUAUUUCAUUAAUGAAAUGAUAAUUUACAAACUUGAUAAAAUAGAAAAAAUUAAAAAAUAAAAUAAAUCUUUACGAAUGUUAGAGAUAAUUUUUAUAUAUUUUAUUUUUUACCUAUUUAUCAAAACACCAAAAGGGAAAAAAAAAAGAAAAGGAAUAAAUCAAUAAAUAUAUAUAUAUAUAUAUAUAUAUAUAUAUAUAUAUAUAUAUAUUUUAUAUAUAUACAUAUUUGUCAAUUGGACAAAAUUGUUUGCUCCUUUGACACAGUAUGAAUUUUUUUUUUUUUUCUUUUUUUGCUUCUUCUCAUUUCUAUUAUCAUGAUUGAAGAAUGGAAAAAAUCUUUGGUAAUCUGAUUUUUAAUGA
This is a small nucleolar RNA of Plasmodium falciparum 3D7, 629 nucleotides long. Lineage: Eukaryota; Apicomplexa; Aconoidasida; Haemosporida; Plasmodiidae. The record is from RefSeq and is a predicted model, not a curated record.